GAUGAACGCUGGGGGCGUGCCUAAUACAUGCAAGUCGAGCGAACAGAUGAGGAGCUUGCUCCUCUGACGUUAGCGGCGGACGGGUGAGUAACACGUGGAUAACCUACCUAUAAGACUGGGAUAACUUCGGGAAACCGGAGCUAAUACCGGAUAAUAUAUUGAACCGCAUGGUUCAAUAGUGAAAGACGGUUUUGCUGUCACUUAUAGAUUGAUCCGCGCCGCAUUAGCUAGUUGGUAAGGUAACGGCUUACCAAGGCGACGAUGCGUAGCCGACCUGAGAGGGUGAUCGGCCACACUGGAACUGAGACACGGUCCAGACUCCUACGGGAGGCAGCAGUAGGGAAUCUUCCGCAAUGGGCGAAAGCCUGACGGAGCAACGCCGCGUGAGUGAUGAAGGUCUUCGGAUCGUAAAACUCUGUUAUUAGGGAAGAACAAAUGUGUAAGUAACUAUGCACGUCUUGACGGUACCUAAUCAGAAAGCCACGGCUAACUACGUG
This 497-nucleotide ribosomal RNA is filed under the name uncultured bacterium. RNAcentral's name for it is "partial 16S ribosomal RNA". It matches the Rfam family "Bacterial small subunit ribosomal RNA", at positions 28 to 507 of the family's 1533-position model. The record is from RNAcentral.